AGAGUUUGAUCAUGGCUCAGGAUGAACGCUAGCGGCAGGCUUAAUACAUGCAAGUCGUGGGGCAGCAUGACUGUAGCAAUACAGUUGAUGGCGACUGGCAAACGGGUGCGGAACACGUACACAACCUUCCUUCGAGUGGGGAAUAGCCCGGGGAAACCCGGAUUAAUACCCCGUAACAUAAUGAAGUGGCAUCACUUUAUUAUUAUAGCAGCAAUGCGCUUUAAGAUGGGUGUGCGACUGAUUAGGCAGUUGGCGGGGUAACGGCCCACCAAACCUACGAUCAGUAACUGGUGUGAGAGCACGACCAGUCACACGGGCACUGAGACACGGGCCCGACUCCUACGGGAGGCAGCAGUAAGGAAUAUUGGUCAAUGGACGCAAGUCUGAACCAGCCAUGCCGCGUGGAGGAUGAAGGUCCUCUGGAUUGUAAACUUCUUUUAUCUGGGAAGAAAUCCACGAAUUCUUUUGUGGUUGACGGUACCAGAUGAAUAAGCACCGGCUAACUCCGUGCCAGCAGCCGCGGUAAUACGGAGGGUGCAAGCGUUAUCCGGAUUCACUGGGUUUAAAGGGUGCGUAGGUGGGCAGGUAAGUCAGUGGUGAAAUCUCCGGGCUUAACUCGGAAACUGCCAUUGAUACUAUCUGUCUUGAAUACCGUGGAGGUCAGCGGAAUAUGUCAUGUAGCGGUGAAAUGCUUAGAUAUGACAUAGAACACCAAUUGCGAAGGCAGCUGGCUACACGAAUAUUGACACUGAUGCACGAAAGCGUGGGGAUCAAACAGGAUUAGAUACCCUAGUAGUCC
This 799-nucleotide ribosomal RNA is filed under the name uncultured bacterium. RNAcentral's name for it is "bacterial SSU rRNA". It matches the Rfam family "Bacterial small subunit ribosomal RNA", at positions 8 to 796 of the family's 1533-position model. The record is from RNAcentral.